Molecule: ribosomal RNA, 1343 nt
Filed under: uncultured bacterium
Lineage: Bacteria
Description: 16S ribosomal RNA
Rfam family: Bacterial small subunit ribosomal RNA
Source: RNAcentral
GACGAACGCUGGCGGCGUGCUUAACACAUGCAAGUCGAACGGAAAGGCCCUGCUUUUGUGGGGUGCUCGAGUGGCGAACGGGUGAGCAACACGUGAGUAACCUGCCCUUGACUUUGGGAUAACUUCAGGAAACUGGGGCUAAUACCGGAUAGGAGCUCCUGCCGCAUGGUGGGGGUUGGAAAGUUUCGGCGGUUGGGGAUGGACUCGCGGCUUAUCAGCUUGUUGGUGGGGUAGUGGCUUACCAAGGCUUUGACGGGUAGCCGGCCUGAGAGGGUGACCGGCCACAUUGGGACUGAGAUACGGCCCAGACUCCUACGGGAGGCAGCAGUGGGGAAUAUUGCACAAUGGGCGGAAGCCUGAUGCAGCAACGCCGCGUGCGGGAUGACGGCCUUCGGGUUGUAAACCGCUUUCGCCUGUGACGAAGCGUGAGUGACGGUAAUGGGUAAAGAAGCACCGGCUAACUACGUGCCAGCAGCCGCGGUGAUACGUAGGGUGCGAGCGUUGUCCGGAUUUAUUGGGCGUAAAGGGCUCGUAGGUGGUCGAUCGCGUCGGAAGUGUAAUCUUGGGGCUUAACCCUGAGCGUGCUUUCGAUACGGGUUGACUUGAGGAAGGUAGGGGAGAAUGGAAUUCCUGGUGGAGCGGUGGAAUGCGCAGAUAUCAGGAGGAACACCAGUGGCGAAGGCGGUUCUCUGGGCCUUUCCUGACGCUGAGGAGCGAAAGCGUGGGGAGCGAACAGGCUUAGAUACCCUGGUAGUCCACGCUGUAAACGGUGGGUACUAGGUGUGGGGUCCAUUCCACGGGUUCCGUGCCGUAGCUAACGCUUUAAGUACCCCGCCUGGGGAGUACGGCCGCAAGGCUAAAACUCAAAGGAAUUGACGGGGCCCCGCACAAGCGGCGGAGCAUGCGGAUUAAUUCGAUGCAACGCGUAGAACCUUACCUGGGUUUGACAUGGAUCGGGAGCGCUCAGAGAUGGGUGUGCCUCUUUUGGGGUCGGUUCACAGGUGGUGCAUGGCUGUCGUCAGCUCGUGUCGUGAGAUGUUGGGUUAAGUCCCGCAACGAGCGCAACCCUUGUUCACUGUUGCCAGCACGUUAUGGUGGGGACUCAGUGGAGACCGCCGGGGUCAACUCGGAGGAAGGUGGGGAUGACGUCAAGUCAUCAUGCCCCUUAUGUCCAGGGCUUCACGCAUGCUACAAUGGCUGGUACAGAGAGUGGCGAGCCUGUGAGGGUGAGCGAAUCUCGGAAAGCCGGUCUCAGUUCGGAUUGGGGUCUGCAACUCGACCUCAUGAAGUCGGAGUCGCUAGUAAUCGCAGAUCAGCAACGCUGCGGUGAAUACGUUCCCGGG